This is a long non-coding RNA of Sapajus apella (tufted capuchin), 1486 nucleotides long. RefSeq lists it as uncharacterized. The record is from RefSeq and is a predicted model, not a curated record. Lineage: Eukaryota; Metazoa; Chordata; Mammalia; Primates; Cebidae. The transcript has 3 exons.
UAUAGUACCAGCAAAAUCCUUUGAUCUACUUCACGAUGCACUUGCCUACACUUCUUAACUUCAUACAAUUUUAUGAAAAUCUUUUGCAAUUUUGAUGCUGAAAAUGCAGCAACUCUUUGGUAGCCAACAAAAAAAUUAGGUUUCUCUAUUAGUAUAAAUAAUUAUGUAAUAAUUUUCACGGGCAUAUUCACUCUUUUUAUUGGUAUACUGUGGUACAGUUCUUAAUGAAAUAAGAAAGAAUUAUGUCUAAAUUACAGAAUCUUUGAAGACUUUGAUGAUUCACAGGUGCAAAGAGCACUUUCAUAAAAAUACUGGUCCAGAAGACACAUUCUUCGAGAUCAUUCCUCAGAUCACCCUAAUAUUGCUUACUAUCAUUGUGGUGCUGCUACGCAGGCACUCAUUUUUGAAACUUUUAUAGAAGAGCAAAUGCAUUCACUACGAUUUGCCACAUGGUUAUUUCAAAAUUUCAAUUAAGAACAAACAUUCAUCAUUUUCCCUAGCAAGGUCCUAUGCCCAGACCAUUUAAAAGGUCAGGAGAACAAUUUAAUAAGUUAAAUCCUGUCAAAAAUAACCUAUCAAGCAGAUGACUGAAGGAAUCCUUUCUUUGAAGCUUGAAAAAAGAUUGCAUUUCACUAUGAAAAAUCGCCUGUCUUUAGGAUCUGUUUCAUGUUUCUUCAAACGAUUCAUGUCGACCUUUCCCCAGAGCAAGAUUUGAGAUGAAGUUAUGUAAUUUAUUGUCAUGCUUUAAACAUAUUAUAUUUAUUUGUCCCUUUAAUAGCCUUUUUUCUCUUAGGUCCUUGGAAGCAGUGAGCUCACCAUGAAUUGAUUCUUCCUGUAGUUAAUGGAAAAGGUGGCAGGAUUUGCUGAAAGUGAGGAAGGUGACGAGUACAAGAGAGGAGAUGGAAUGAAAAAAAACGUUAUUAUUGCAGAAUGAAAGUUUUAUUAGUGUAAGAGUUGAAAUCUAAAGGAUUUUCAUUCUGGACCUAAAAAUAGAAGAUUAGCCAUAGUGAGAAGCAUGGAGAAAGGCACAGGAGAAAAGGGAGGCGGCAGAGGGAGACAGCAGGACAGCCCGCGCGAGAAUGAAGGAUGAAGGUGGCGGUGAAACAGACGAACUUUUUAACCAGCUUCCCAAGCAUGGCGCACUCCUAGGUUAGAAACGCUCUGCAAGACUUAGCACGAAAACACAGCGCUUUGGGAAAAUGAAACUGAAAUGUCAAGACCAUUUUUGCAGCUAUAUCUUUCUACAUAUUCCUGAUUAUUUCCUUGAAUAAACUGCUAAAAGGGGAAUUACUCAUUCAAGUGGUAUGUGAAAUAGUAAGAAUUCUGGUAAGUGUUGCUAAAUUUCCCUUCAUAUGAUAUGCCAACUGACGCUCACACCAGUAUUUUAUUAGUGCCUAUUUCUUCCUAUUAUCAUCUAUUAAAUAUUUAUUGAAGAAUGCUUUAGAAACAUAAACAAAAAAAUUAAAGUCUUCGUAAUCUCACUCUG